UUUUUUUUUUUCUUUUUACCCUCUUUAUGCUCCUCAACUUCGUUUUAUAACUAAGUUUGGAGUUCUAUAAUUUGUGAAGUUUCUAGUCCACGAGCUAAAUGUAGCAUUCCAUCCUCCAGUUUCUCCCGUUUUAGGAUUUUAUUGAUACUUUACAUGCUUCUCUCGGAAACCAAUUUCAUUACCACAAUUCUGUAAGUAUACAUAAUGAAAACUAAUUACCG
This 221-nucleotide unclassified non-coding RNA is filed under the name Hevea brasiliensis (rubber tree). The record is from RNAcentral. Lineage: Eukaryota; Viridiplantae; Streptophyta; Magnoliopsida; Malpighiales; Euphorbiaceae.